CCUACGGGAGGCAGCAGUGGGGAAUAUUGCACAAUGGGGGAAACCCUGAUGCAGCGACGCCGCGUGAGUGAAGAAGUAAUUCGUUAUGUAAAGCUCUAUCAGCAGGGAAGAAAAUGACGGUACCUGAGUAAGAAGCCCCGGCUAACUACGUGCCAGCAGCCGCGGUAAUACGUAGGGGGCAAGCGUUAUCCGGAUUUACUGGGUGGAAAGGGAGCGUAUACGGCAGUGCAAGUCUGGAGUGAAAGGCGGGGGCUCAACCCCCGGACUGCUCUGGAAACUGUACGGCUGGAGUGCAGGAGAGGUAAGUGGAAUUCCUAGUGUAGCGGUGAAAUGCGUAGAUAUUAGGAGGAACACCAGUGGCGAAGGCGGCUUACUGGACUGUAACUGACGUUGAGGCUCGAAAGCGUGGGGAGCAAACAGGAUUAGAUACCCCUGUAGUC
This 440-nucleotide ribosomal RNA is filed under the name uncultured bacterium. RNAcentral describes it as "partial 16S ribosomal RNA". It matches the Rfam family "Bacterial small subunit ribosomal RNA", at positions 338 to 795 of the family's 1533-position model. The record is from RNAcentral.